This 783-nucleotide ribosomal RNA is filed under the name uncultured bacterium. RNAcentral's name for it is "bacterial SSU rRNA". It matches the Rfam family "Bacterial small subunit ribosomal RNA", at positions 8 to 796 of the family's 1533-position model. The record is from RNAcentral.
AGAGUUUGAUCCUGGCUCAGGACGAACGCUGGCGGCGUGCUUAAUACAUGCAAGUCGAGCGGUGCUUCUUCGGAAGCGCAGCGGCGGACGGGUGAGGAACACGUGAGUAACCGGGCAUCCAGUGGGGGAUAUCGGGCCGAAAGGCGCGGCAAUCCCGCAUACGUCGCAGGCCGUCAAGGUCUGCGGGAAAGGCCUUCGGGUCGCUGGAUGGGGGGCUCGCGGCCCAUUAGCUAGUUGGGGGGGUAAUGGCCUCCCAAGGCGACGAUGGGUAGCCGGCCUGAGAGGGUGAUCGGCCACACUGGGACUGAGACACGGCCCAGACUCCUACGGGAGGCAGCAGUAGGGAAUCUUCCACAAUGGGCGCAAGCCUGAUGGAGCAACGCCGCGUGAGUGAAGACGGCCUUCGGGUUGUAAAGCUCUGUCUGUCGGGACGAGGACCCGGGUGUAAACCCGGGGGGGACGGUACCGGCGGAGGAAGCCCCUGCAAACUACGUGCCAGCAGCCGCGGUAAGACGUAGGGGGCAAGCGUUGUCCGGAAUUACUGGGCGUAAAGGGCGUGUAGGCGGUUUGGCACGUAGCGGUUUUCAGCCGCCGGCUCACCCGGCGGAGGGCGGCUAAACGACCAGACUUGAGGGCAGGAGAGGUGCACGGAAUUCCUGGUGUAGCGGUGGAAUGCGCAGAUAUCAGGAGGAACACCGGUGGCGAAGGCGGGUCUCUGGGCAGUAACUGACGCUGAGGAGCGAAAGCGUGGGGAGCGAACAGGAUUAGAUACCCUGGUAGUCC